AACGAACGCUGGCGGCAUGCCUAACACAUGCAAGUCGAACGAUACCUUCGGGUCUAGUGGCGCACGGGUGCGUAACGCGUGGGAACCUGCCCUUAGGUUCGGAAUAACUCCCCGAAAGGGGUGCUAAUACCGGAUAAUGUCGUCUGACCAAAGAUUUAUCGCCUUUGGAUGGGCCCGCGUUGGAUUAGCUAGUUGGUAGGGUAAAAGCCUACCAAGGCGACGAUCCAUAGCUGGUCUGAGAGGAUGAUCAGCCACACUGGGACUGAGACACGGCCCAGACUCCUACGGGAGGCAGCAGUGGGGAAUAUUGGACAAUGGGCGAAAGCCUGAUCCAGCAAUGCCGCGUGAGUGAUGAAGGCCUUAGGGUUGUAAAGCUCUUUUACCCGGGAUGAUAAUGACAGUACCGGGAGAAUAAGCUCCGGCUAACUACGUG
RNAcentral lists this ribosomal RNA (433 nucleotides) under uncultured bacterium. Its description in RNAcentral is "partial 16S ribosomal RNA". It matches the Rfam family "Bacterial small subunit ribosomal RNA", at positions 29 to 507 of the family's 1533-position model. The record is from RNAcentral.